Molecule: ribosomal RNA, 284 nt
Filed under: uncultured prokaryote
Description: partial 16S ribosomal RNA
Rfam family: Bacterial small subunit ribosomal RNA
Source: RNAcentral
UACGUAGGGGGCGAGCGUUGUCCGGAAUGACUGGGCGUAAAGGGCGUGUAGGCGGCCGAUUAAGUCCGGAGUGAAAGUCCUGCUUUCAAGGUGGGAAUUGCUUUGGAAACUGGUUGGCUUGAGUGCGGAAGAGGUAAGUGGAAUUCCCAGUGUAGCGGUGAAAUGCGUAGAGAUUGGGAGGAACACCAGUGGCGAAGGCGACUUACUGGGCCGUAACUGACGCUGAGGCGCGAAAGCGUGGGGAGCGAACAGGAUUAGAUACCCUGGUAGUCCCUGAGCGGGCU